This 103-nucleotide microRNA precursor is filed under the name Marmota monax (woodchuck). The record is from RNAcentral. Lineage: Eukaryota; Metazoa; Chordata; Mammalia; Rodentia; Sciuridae.
AGUGGGAUAACUGGGUCAAAUGGUGGUUCCAUUCCAAGUUUUCUGAGGAAUCUCCAUACUGCUUUCCAGAGUGGUUGCACCAAUUUGCAAUCCCACCAGCAAU